Molecule: long non-coding RNA, 319 nt
Organism: Hemicordylus capensis (graceful crag lizard)
Lineage: Eukaryota; Metazoa; Chordata; Lepidosauria; Squamata; Cordylidae
Exons: 2
Source: RefSeq, a predicted model, not a curated record
CCCGCUCAACCAUCAAGCUCUUCAUUCUGCAGGGCUAGCUCCGCCUCUUUCUACCUUCCUCCCUGUGGGUCAGCUGGUCUCCUUAAAGGUCUUUCACAGAAAAAAUGUAUAUCAGAAGAUGUACAACUCAAAGAAUCUAUUUCUAUGCAGCUUCAACCUGAAUAGCGGCUAUAUGAGUCUAUGGGGAGAGGAGAAAGGAACAUUCAUGCUAUCUUCAGUGAAAGACUAAAUAAAACCCGUUCCUGGAAUUCAAAGCAUGAAUUGAAGAGGGAAUAUGUGCAUUUACCAAAAAAAUAAAUAAAUCAGAAUGUCGAACCUA